RNAcentral lists this ribosomal RNA (440 nucleotides) under uncultured bacterium. RNAcentral's name for it is "partial 16S ribosomal RNA". It matches the Rfam family "Bacterial small subunit ribosomal RNA", at positions 338 to 795 of the family's 1533-position model. The record is from RNAcentral.
CCUACGGGAGGCUGCAGUAGGGAAUUUUGCGCAAUGGGCGAAAGCCUGACGCAGCAACGCCGCGUGAUCGAGACGCCCUUCGGGGUGUAAAGAUCUGUCAGUGGGGACGAAACUUGACGGUACCCACAGAGGAAGCACCGGCUAACUCCGUGCCAGCAGCCGCGGUAAUACGGGGGGUGCAAGCGUUGUCCGGAAUCAUUGGGCGUAAAGAGUUCGUAGGCGGCACGUAAAGUCUGGUGUUAAAGGCAGAGGCUCAACUUCUGUACGGCACUGGAUACUUGCGAGCUAGAAUGCGGUAGAGGUAAAGGGAAUUCCUGGUGUAGCGGUGAAAUGCGUAGAUAUCAGGAGGAAUACCGUUAGCGAAGGCGGCAAUCUGGCUGGAAACUGACGCUGAGGUGCGAAAGCGUGGGUAGCAAACAGGAUUAGAUACCCCUGUAGUC